This 497-nucleotide ribosomal RNA is filed under the name uncultured bacterium. Its description in RNAcentral is "partial 16S ribosomal RNA". It matches the Rfam family "Bacterial small subunit ribosomal RNA", at positions 28 to 507 of the family's 1533-position model. The record is from RNAcentral.
GACGAACGCUGGCGGCGUGCCUAAUACAUGCAAGUUGAGCGCUGAAGGUUGGUACUUGUACCAACUGGAUGAGCAGCGAACGGGUGAGUAACGCGUGGGGAAUCUGCCUUUGAGCGGGGGACAACAUUUGGAAACGAAUGCUAAUACCGCAUAAAAACUUUAAACACAAGUUUUAAGUUUGAAAGAUGCAAUUGCAUCACUCAAAGAUGAUCCCGCGUUGUAUUAGCUAGUUGGUGAGGUAAAGGCUCACCAAGGCGAUGAUACAUAGCCGACCUGAGAGGGUGAUCGGCCACAUUGGGACUGAGACACGGCCCAAACUCCUACGGGAGGCAGCAGUAGGGAAUCUUCGGCAAUGGACGAAAGUCUGACCGAGCAACGCCGCGUGAGUGAAGAAGGUUGUCGGAUCGUAAAACUCUGUUGGUAGAGAAGAACGUUGGUGAGAGUGGAAUGCUCAUCAAGUGACGGUAACUACCCAGAAAGGGACGGCUAACUACGUG